CCCUUUCCCAAGUUGAGCUGUUGACCAAUGGAGUCAGUCUGACUAGACUAAAAGGAUAAGUGGAUCAAGAAUGAAAAGGUCCCCAAAGAAGAAAUGCAGGCUAUCAGCACCCAGAUCUCGAAAUUAUAUAGGAUAAGUGCAAAUUCAUACAACUCUGAGGUUUCAGCCCUUAUCCAUGAAUUUGGUAAAGACAAUCAAAGGCAGAAAUAAUCUAUGUUGGAGAGACCAUCAGAAGAUAGGCAAACCAGUUAAUAAAGCUAUGAAUCAGUACAA
Molecule: long non-coding RNA, 273 nt
Organism: Monodelphis domestica (gray short-tailed opossum)
Lineage: Eukaryota; Metazoa; Chordata; Mammalia; Didelphimorphia; Didelphidae
Source: RefSeq, a predicted model, not a curated record